This 555-nucleotide ribosomal RNA is filed under the name Triticum aestivum (bread wheat). RNAcentral's name for it is "partial small subunit ribosomal RNA". Lineage: Eukaryota; Viridiplantae; Streptophyta; Magnoliopsida; Poales; Poaceae. The record is from RNAcentral.
AUGGACGAUAACCGAUGGACAAGACACCUUAAGACUACCAUCUCGCCGCAAGCCAUCCGCGAAUUCACAAGUCUAUGGGCAAUGAUGCAAGUUGUGGUUCUCGGUGAUCAGCAAGACACGGUUUCUUGGAGGCGGACUGCUAAUGGUGAAUUCUCCAUCGCGUCCGCAUACACCAUUCAAUUUGAAGGCUCUCAGUGUUCGGUUUGCAAGCAACUCAUUUGGCAAUCAGAUGCUACCCUGAAAUGCAAGACUUUCUCUUGGAUGGCCGCCCUGGGGAAGAUCUUGACUGCUGAUAACCUUGCAAAGAGAGGCUGGCCACAUAACCCACUUUGUCAGCUUUGUGGUGUUGAGCAGGAGACAACGCCUCAUUUACUAGCUGCUUGCACCUUCGCCGUUGACCUCUGGAACAUGGUGCUUCAUCGUUGCGGGCUGCCAAACAUGCUCGGACCAACACCCACAACCUCCUCGUUGCUUCCAUGGUGGGAGCGGAGCAAACAACAAAUCCCGAAGACCUACCACAAAGCUUGGAACUGGCUGAUCCAAAUCGUAUGGUAG